This 73-nucleotide transfer RNA is filed under the name Ailuropoda melanoleuca (giant panda). It matches the Rfam family "tRNA". Rfam says of the family: Transfer RNA (tRNA) molecules are approximately 80 nucleotides in length. Lineage: Eukaryota; Metazoa; Chordata; Mammalia; Carnivora; Ursidae. The record is from Rfam by way of RNAcentral.
GCCAGGCUGGCUCAGUUGGUAGAGCGUGUGACUCUUGAUCUCGGGGUUGUGGGUUCAAGCCCCACGUUGGGUG